Molecule: unclassified non-coding RNA, 117 nt
Organism: Papio anubis (olive baboon)
Lineage: Eukaryota; Metazoa; Chordata; Mammalia; Primates; Cercopithecidae
Rfam family: Metazoan signal recognition particle RNA
About the family: The signal recognition particle (SRP) is a universally conserved ribonucleoprotein.
Source: Ensembl
GCCAGGCGUGGUGGCUCACGCCUGUAAUCCCAGCACUUUGGGAGGCCGAGGCGGGUGGAUCACCUGAGGUCAGGAGUUUGAGACCAGCCUGGCCAACAUGGUGAAACCCUGCCUCUA